GAUGAACGCUGGCGGCGUGCCUAAUACAUGCAAGUCGAGCGAACGGACGAGAAGCUUGCUUCUCUGAUGUUAGCGGCGGACGGGUGAGUAACACGUGGAUAACCUACCUAUAAGACUGGGAUAACUUCGGGAAACCGGAGCUAAUACCGGAUAAUAUUUUGAACCGCAUGGUUCAAAAGUGAAAGACGGUCUUGCUGUCACUUAUAGAUGGAUCCGCGCUGCAUUAGCUAGUUGGUAAGGUAACGGCUUACCAAGGCGACGAUGCAUAGCCGACCUGAGAGGGUGAUCGGCCACACUGGAACUGAGACACGGUCCAGACUCCUACGGGAGGCAGCAGUAGGGAAUCUUCCUCAAUGGGCGAAAGCCUGACGGAGCAACGCCGCGUGAGUGAUGAAGGUCUUCGGAUCGUAAAACUCUGUUAUUAGGGAAGAACAUAUGUGUAAGUAACUGUGCACAUCUUGACGGUACCUAAUCACAAAGGCACGGCUAACUACGUGCCAGCAGCCGCGGUAAUACGUACGUGGCGAGCGUUAUCCGGAAUUAUUGGGCGUAAAGCGCGCGUAGGCGGUUUUUUAGUCUGAUGUGAAAGCCCACGGCUCAUUCGUGGAGGGUCAUUGGAAACUGGAAAACUUGAGUGCAGAAUAGGAAGGUGGAAUUCCAUGUGUAGCGGUGAAAUGCGCAGAGAUAUGGAGGAACACCAGUGGCGAAGGCGACUUUCUGGUCUGUAACUGACGCUGAUGUGCGAAAGCGUGGGGAUCAAACAGGAUUAGAUACCCUGGUAGUCCACGCCGUAAACGAUGAGUGCUAAGUGUUAGGGGGUUUCCGCCCCUUAGUGCUGCAGCUAACGCAUUAAGCACUCCGCCUGGGGAGUACGACCGCAAGGUUGAAACUCAAAGGAAUUGACGGGGACCCGCACAAGCGGUGGAGCAUGUGGUUUAAUUCGAAGCAACGCGAAGAACCUUACCAAAUCUUGACAUCCUUUGACAACUCUAGAGAUAGAGCUUUCCCCUUCGGGGGACAAAGUGACAGGUGGUGCAUGGUUGUCGUCAGCUCGUGUCGUGAGAUGUUGGGUUAAGUCCCGCAACGAGCGCAACCCUUAAGCUUAGUUGCCAUCAUUAAGUUGGGCACUCUAAGUUGACUGCCGGUGACAAACCGGAGGAAGGUGGGGAUGACGUCAAAUCAUCAUGCCCCUUAUGAUUUGGGCUACACACGUGCUACAAUGGACAAUACAAAGGGCAGCGAAACCGCGAGGUCAAGCAAAUCCCAUAAAGUUGUUCUCAGUUCGGAUUGUAGUCUGCAACUCGACUACAUGAAGCUGGAAUCGCUAGUAAUCGUAGAUCAGCAUGCUACGGUGAAUACGUUCCCGGGUCU
RNAcentral lists this ribosomal RNA (1371 nucleotides) under uncultured bacterium. RNAcentral's name for it is "bacterial SSU rRNA". It matches the Rfam family "Bacterial small subunit ribosomal RNA", at positions 28 to 1381 of the family's 1533-position model. The record is from RNAcentral.